UAGUCCACGCCGUAAACGAUGAGAACUAGUUGUUAGAGAGGUUACUCUUUAGCGACGUAGCUAACGCGUUAAGUUCUCCGCCUGGGGAGUACGGUCGCAAGACUAAAACUCAAAGGAAUUGACGGGGGCCCGCACAAGCGGUGGAUCAUGUGGUUUAAUUCGAAGAAACGCGAAAAACCUUACCCGGGUUUGAAAUCCCACGAAUCCUCUAGAGAUAGAGGAGUGCCCUUCGGGGAAUGUGGUGACAGGUGCUGCAUGGCUGUCGUCAGCUCGUGUUGUGAAAUGUUGGGUUAAGUCUCGCAACGAGCGCAACCCCUGUCCUUAGUUGCCAGCAUUAAGUUGGGCACUCUAGGGAGACUGCCGAGGUUAACUCGGAGGAAGGUGGGGAUGACGUCAAGUCCUCAUGGGCCCUUAUAUCCGGGGGCUACACACGUGAUACAAUGGACGAUACAAAGGGGAUGCUAGCUCGCGAGAGUACGCAAAUCUCAAAAAGUCGUUCUCAGUCCGGGAUUGGGAGUCUGCAACUCGACU
Molecule: ribosomal RNA, 531 nt
Filed under: uncultured bacterium
Lineage: Bacteria
Description: bacterial SSU rRNA
Rfam family: Bacterial small subunit ribosomal RNA
Source: RNAcentral